UCCGUCUGCACAAGUGUCGACGCAGCCUCGCAGAUUGAGCCCUGUACGUCCACAGUCAGAUUACUUCGGUGACGAGGCCGGUCCGUCUUCGGCGGCCCCACACCCUACACCCCCCCGCAACGUACUACGGCACGUCAGCGUGGCCUUCUUCUGCUGCACCGUCGUACCACGCAGGCCCCUCCAGCCAGUACACAUGGACGCCUGCCGAGCCUUCACAGUCCUCCUACCCUAGUCAGGAGGAUGAGGCUGGCCCCGACACCGCAUACGACAUCGUCCGUGACUUCUUCGGGGGCAUACCUGACUACGACGUCCUUCAGCGGUCCCAGGUUUCCAGUGCACCGCUUCGGACCCAGCCCACGCAUGACGAGCCCUCGACACCGGUGGUCCCUACUAGGCCUAGCAGACACGUCGGCCCACCUGACCCCCUCACCUACUCCAGUGGUCACGUGAGGGUUAACCAGCGGCAUCGGGACCACGAUGGGGCGCACGGACGACGGCAACGAGGGAGGCAUGAGUAGCAUUUUACAU
Phragmites australis (common reed) is the source of this 528-nucleotide long non-coding RNA. RefSeq lists it as uncharacterized. The record is from RefSeq and is a predicted model, not a curated record. The transcript has 3 exons. Lineage: Eukaryota; Viridiplantae; Streptophyta; Magnoliopsida; Poales; Poaceae.